GGACGUAUAGCUCAGUUGGUUAGAGCGCUACGUUGACAUCGUAGAGGUUCCUCGGUUCGAGUCCGAGUACGUCCA
Molecule: transfer RNA, 75 nt
Filed under: Nodularia spumigena CCY9414
Lineage: Bacteria; Bacillati; Cyanobacteriota; Cyanophyceae; Nostocales; Nodulariaceae
Also listed under: 31 other names
Description: tRNA-Val (GAC) (tRNA-Val-GAC-1-1)
Rfam family: tRNA
About the family: Transfer RNA (tRNA) molecules are approximately 80 nucleotides in length. Their secondary structure includes four short double-helical elements and three loops (D, anti-codon, and T loops).
Source: RNAcentral